AGGAAGGCAAAUCAUAUUCUUUCUUAGUUGCUGAAGAGCGGGUUGAAGCCACUAGCUAAGGCCCACCUAUGUUCACUCCUGGGAACAGGAAAAGAAGCUUCGACCUCUAUGGCAAGAAGAAAUGGGACCGAAACCCUGUUAUGUCAAGGGUGAUACGACUUCCAUUUGAUAUUGGAUACCAGAUCGACUCGCUUUUCACCUUAGAUCAGGGCUAGAUCGGGGCUUUUUGGUAAUUUAGACUUUUCUUUUAUCGCUUCUCCUUCAUUUAGUGAAAUUCGAUUCCUAUUUUCUCUAGUGAUAGGGAAUUAGGGAUCACUUCACCUCCCUUGCUCCCAAAUAAGAUUUCAGGAUCCACCUACUGAAGGAAUGGAUUGUCUGGUUUGGUUUGCAGCUUAUCAAGCUUGAAAUCCGUUCUUAGACCUACCGGUGACCGGCUUCGCGAGACCAUUUCGAUCCACACAUGGCGUUGCUCUAUUGGGCGGUGGCUUAUAGAAGCAAAUCCCGUACUUGAUAAGAUCAGCAAUAAAAAGAAAGACCUGCCCUUUCGGUGAAG
This 553-nucleotide long non-coding RNA is filed under the name Arachis ipaensis. Its description in RNAcentral is "long non-coding RNA (AIPA_LNC001886)". Lineage: Eukaryota; Viridiplantae; Streptophyta; Magnoliopsida; Fabales; Fabaceae. The record is from RNAcentral.